RNAcentral lists this ribosomal RNA (423 nucleotides) under uncultured bacterium. Its description in RNAcentral is "bacterial SSU rRNA". It matches the Rfam family "Bacterial small subunit ribosomal RNA", at positions 917 to 1341 of the family's 1533-position model. The record is from RNAcentral.
GGGCCCGCACAAGCGGUGGAGCAUGUGGUUUAAUUCGAUGAUACGCGAGGAACCUUACCAGGGCUUAAAUGUAGUAUGACCGGUCUGGAAACAGACCUUCUCUUCGGAGCAGAUUACAAGGUGCUGCAUGGUUGUCGUCAGCUCGUGCCGUGAGGUGUUAGGUUAAGUCCUGCAACGAGCGCAACCCCUAUUCUUAGUUGCCAGCGGUUCGGCCGGGGACUCUAAGAAGACUGCCAGCGCAAGCUGAGAGGAAGGUGGGGAUGACGUCAAAUCAUUACGGCCCUUACGUCCUGGGCUACACACGUGCUACAAUGGUAGAGACAGAGGGCAGCCACCUGGUGACAGGGAGCGAAAUCCUUAAACUCUAUCUCAGUUCGGAUCGAAGUCUGCAACUCGACUUCGUGAAGCUGGAAUCGCUAGUAA